RNAcentral lists this ribosomal RNA (253 nucleotides) under uncultured bacterium. RNAcentral's name for it is "partial 16S ribosomal RNA". It matches the Rfam family "Bacterial small subunit ribosomal RNA", at positions 524 to 776 of the family's 1533-position model. The record is from RNAcentral.
UACAUGGGGUGCAAACGUUGCUCGGAAUUAUUGGGCGUAAAGCGCGCGUAGGCGGUUACUCAAGUCGGAUGUGAAAGCCCUCGGCUUAACUGAGGAAGUGCACCCGAAACUGAGUAGCUAGAGUACCAAAGAGGGUCGCGGAAUUCCCGGUGUAGAGGUGAAAUUCGUAGAUAUCGGGAGGAACACCAGUGGCGAAGGCGGCGAUCUGGGUCGAUACUGACGCUGAGGUGCGAAAGCGUGGGGAGCAAACAGG